Molecule: ribosomal RNA, 411 nt
Filed under: uncultured bacterium
Lineage: Bacteria
Description: bacterial SSU rRNA
Rfam family: Bacterial small subunit ribosomal RNA
Source: RNAcentral
AGAGUUUGAUCCUGGCUCAGAAUGAACGCUGGCGGCGUGCCUAACACAUGUAAGUCGGAUGUGCCCGCAAGGGUGCAUGGCAGACGGGUGAGUAACGCGUGGGGAAUCUACCUCUUUGUGGGGAAUAACGCUCCGAAAGGAGUGGUAAUACCGCAUGAGAUCCAUGGCUGGAAUGUUGUGGAUGAAACCUGGGGACCUUCGGGCCUGGGGCAAGGAGAGGAUCCUGCGUCUGAUUAGCUAGUUGGUGAGGUAACGGCCCACCAAGGCAACGAUCAGUAGCCGGCCUGAGAGGGUGAUCGGCCACACUGGAACUGAGACACGGUCCAGACUCCUACGGGAGGCAGCAGUGGGGAAUUUUGCGCAAUGGGCGAAAGCCUGACGCAGCAACGCCGCGUGGGUGAUGAAGGUCUU